This 253-nucleotide ribosomal RNA is filed under the name uncultured bacterium. RNAcentral's name for it is "partial 16S ribosomal RNA". It matches the Rfam family "Bacterial small subunit ribosomal RNA", at positions 524 to 776 of the family's 1533-position model. The record is from RNAcentral.
UACGGAGGGGGCUAGCGUUGUUCGGAAUUACUGGGCGUAAAGCGCACGUAGGCGGAUCAGUCAGUUAGAGGUGAAAUCCCAGGGCUCAACCCUGGAACUGCCUUUAAUACUGCUGAUCUGGAGGAUGAGAGAGGCGAGUGGAAUUCCGAGUGUAGAGGUGAAAUUCGUAGAUAUUCGGAGGAACACCAGUGGCGAAGGCGGCUCGCUGGCUCAUUUCUGACGCUGAGGUGCGAAAGCGUGGGGAGCAAACAGG